GCAAGAUUAAAACUCAAAGGAAUAGACGGGGACCCGCACAAGUGGUGGAGCAUGUGGUUUAAUUCGAAGAUACGCGAAGAACCUUACCUAGCCUUGACAUAUUUUAGAACUCCGCAGAGAUGCAGAGGUGCCUUCGGGAGCUAAUUUACAGGUGCUGCACGGCUGUCGUCAGCUCGUGUCAUGAGAUGUUGGGUUAAGUCCCGCAACGAGCGCAACCCUCGUCACUAGUUACUAACGGUUCGGCCGAGGACUCUAGUGAGACUGCCUUCGUAAGGAGGAGGAAGGUGAGGACGACGUCAAGUCAUCAUGGCCCUUACGGCUAGGGCAACACACGUGCUACAAUGGCCAGGACAGUGAGACGCGAUACCGCGAGGUGGAGCAAAUCUAUAAACCUGGUCUCAGUUCGGAUUGUUCUCUGCAACUCGAGAACAUGAAGCUGGAAUCACUAGUAAUCGUAGAUCAGCUAUGCUACGGUGAAUACGUUCCCGGGUCUUGUACUCACCGCCCGUCACACCAUGGGAGUUGAUUUCACCCGAAGCGGGGAAGCUAAACUGGCUACCCUCCACGGUGGAAUUAGCGACUGGGGUGAAGUCGUAACAAGGUA
This 604-nucleotide ribosomal RNA is filed under the name uncultured bacterium. RNAcentral describes it as "bacterial SSU rRNA". It matches the Rfam family "Bacterial small subunit ribosomal RNA", at positions 888 to 1498 of the family's 1533-position model. The record is from RNAcentral.